AGUGGCAGACGGGUGAGUAACGCGUGGGAACGUACCUUUCACUACGGAAUAGCUCUUGGAAACGAGUGGUAAUACCGUAUACGCCCUUCGGGGGAAAGAUUUAUCGGUGAAAGAUCGGCCCGCGUUAGAUUAGCUAGUUGGUAGGGUAAUGGCCUACCAAGGCGACGAUCUAUAGCUGGUCUGAGAGGAUGAUCAGCCACACUGGGACUGAGACACGGCCCAGACUCCUACGGGAGGCAGCAGUGGGGAAUCUUGCACAAUGGGCGAAAGCCUGAUGCAGCCAUGCCGCGUGAAUGAUGAAGGCCUUAGGGUUGUAAAAUUCUUUCGCUAGGGAUGAUAAUGACAGUACCUAGUAAAGAAGCCCCGGCUAACUUCGUGCCAGCAGCCGCGGUAAUACGAAGGGGGCUAGCGUUGUUCGGAAUUACU
RNAcentral lists this ribosomal RNA (426 nucleotides) under Hyphomonas sp. Ar-91. RNAcentral describes it as "bacterial SSU rRNA". It matches the Rfam family "Bacterial small subunit ribosomal RNA", at positions 94 to 555 of the family's 1533-position model. The record is from RNAcentral. Lineage: Bacteria; Pseudomonadati; Pseudomonadota; Alphaproteobacteria; Hyphomonadales; Hyphomonadaceae.